CAGCAGCCACGGGAAUACGGAGGGGGCUAGCGUUGUUCGGAAUUACUAGGCGUAAAGGGAGCGUAGGCGGAUCGUUAAGUUGGGGGUGAAAGCCCGGGGCUCAACCUCGGAAUAGCCUUCAAUACUGGCGAUCUUGAGUAUGGGAGAGGUAAGCGGAACUCCGAGUGUAGAGGUGAAAUUCGUAGAUAUUCGGAAGAACACCAGUGGCGAAGGCGACACACUGGCUCAUUACUGACGCUGAGGCUCGAAAGCGUGGGGAGCAAACAGGAUUAGAUACCCGGGUAGUCCCUGUCUCUUAUAC
Molecule: ribosomal RNA, 301 nt
Filed under: uncultured bacterium
Lineage: Bacteria
Description: partial 16S ribosomal RNA
Rfam family: Bacterial small subunit ribosomal RNA
Source: RNAcentral